UGACGGUACCUGACUAAGAAGCCCCGGCUAACUACGUGCCAGCAGCCGCGGUAAUACGUAGGUGGCAAGCGUUAUCCGGAUUUAUUGGGCGUAAAGGGAACGCAGGCGGUUUUUUAAGUCUGAUGUGAAAGCCUUCGGCUUAACCGGAGAAUAGCAUUGGAAACUGGAAGACUUGAGUGCAGAAGAGGAGAGUGGAAUUCCAUGUGUAGCGGUGAAAUGCGUAGAUAUAUGGAGGAACACCAGUGGCGAAAGCGGCUCUCUGGUCUGUAACUGACGCUGAGGUUCGAAAGCGUGGGUAGCAAACAGGAUUAGAUACCCUG
RNAcentral lists this ribosomal RNA (320 nucleotides) under uncultured bacterium. RNAcentral's name for it is "bacterial SSU rRNA". It matches the Rfam family "Bacterial small subunit ribosomal RNA", at positions 470 to 789 of the family's 1533-position model. The record is from RNAcentral.